Molecule: ribosomal RNA, 286 nt
Filed under: Celebia sp. 1 EMC-2007
Lineage: Eukaryota; Metazoa; Arthropoda; Insecta; Coleoptera; Curculionidae
Description: partial 12S ribosomal RNA
Source: RNAcentral
UAGUAGUAGUUGGGUUCUUGAAAAUUAAAGAUUCUGGCGGUAUUUUAGUCUAUUUAGAGGAACCUGUCCUGUAAUCGAUGAUCCACGAUUUUAGGUACUUAUUUUCUAAGUUUGCAUAUCGCCGUGGGUUGAAUAUUUUUACGAAAAAGAAAUGUUCAAUAAUUUUUGUAAGAAAAAAAUUCAGGUCAAGAUGUAGCCGAUAGAUAAGAAGAGAUGGGUUACAAUAAAUUUAUUUAUAACGGAAUGGUAGAUUAAAUUUUAUUGUGAAGGCGGAUUUAAGGGUAAU